RNAcentral lists this long non-coding RNA (1309 nucleotides) under Homo sapiens (human). RNAcentral describes it as "HSALNT0098213". The record is from RNAcentral. Lineage: Eukaryota; Metazoa; Chordata; Mammalia; Primates; Hominidae.
UAUGCACCCACCUGUAUCCAAUCCAUACACUCACUCCCCUCUGUAUACACCCACCUGUAUCCAAUCCAUACUCCUCACCAUAUACACCCACCUAUAUCCAAUCCAUACACUCACUGCCCCCAUAUGCACUCACCGAUAUCUAUUUUGUGCACUCAGGGCACAGGGUUCCUGCUUUAUAGCGAGUGUUUGCAUGCUGAAGCCUGACCUCAUUUACUCAUUCAACAAGCAUGCACUGAACACUCGGCAAUGACUUCCUGAGUACCUACCAUGUGCCCAGCUCAGGGUCCUGGGCUUUUAAGUGUUUCUCAUGCCUGGUGUCUUUCCUACCACAACCAGGUCCUACUCCUCCAGGAAGAUGAUGGAGAAUGCUGAAACUGUGCUCCAAGGCCACGAGAAGGAAAAGGCCUGGAUUUUCUCUUCACUCUCUUUCAGUCCUGCUGCCUCCCAGUUUCUCCAGGGGAGUUUUUGUCUCCCUAGGGCUUAAGGAGGAUCCUGGGCUCACGUGCUCAGGAUGUUUGAAAGAACCAAAAACAGGAAGGAGAAGAAACAGGCCCUGUUUGUUAGGAAGCAGAAAAACAAAGAUGCAGAGUGGUAUGGGAAGGAGAACACCUGCCUGAGAGACUGGGGUCUGAAUUCCAUCUCUGCCUUUCACUCCCCAUGUGACCUUGGGCUGGUCCAUGUACCACUGUAGACCUCAGUCUUCUCAUCUGCCCAAUGGAUAAGCAACUGGAUAUUUGAAGACCCUGUGGACAUGGAUUCCUAAUAAAGGUCCUUCGAAUUUUCACUACUUCUGGGUGUAGAUAAAAUUAAUUCACAUAUAAUGGAAAGACAAAAUGUGGUAUAUCCAUACAACAGAAUACUAUACAGGAAUAAAAAUGAAUGAAUCACAGAUACAAGCAACCACAUGGAUGAACCUCAGAAACAAGACUCUUCAGUGAAAGAGGCCAGACAUAAGAGACCAACCACUCCAUUCAGAUGGGAUGUCCAGAAAAAUGGAAUCUAUAGAGACAGAAAGAAAAUUGGGGUUACCUGGGAUGGGGGUGAGGGAUUGCAGUAAAUAUGCAUGAGGGAUAUUAUUGGGGUGAUGGAAAUGUUCCCAAAUUGAUUUACUGUGAUGGUAUGCAACUUUGUAGAUGUACUAAAAUGUCAUUGAAUUGUGCACUUGAAACAAGUGAAUGAUGUGUAAAAUGUGCAAUACAGUUAUUUAUAAAAUAAAAAAUUAACAUAUAUGCAUCACACUACUUAUAAUGCAUUUAAAAAUAACUUAUAGACAAUGUAACACAAAUAAAUAGUUUCUUUCCCAAGGAGG